This 253-nucleotide ribosomal RNA is filed under the name uncultured bacterium. RNAcentral's name for it is "partial 16S ribosomal RNA". It matches the Rfam family "Bacterial small subunit ribosomal RNA", at positions 524 to 776 of the family's 1533-position model. The record is from RNAcentral.
UACGUAGGCAGCAAGCGUUGUUCGGAGUUACUGGGCGUAAAGGGUGUGUAGGCGGUUGGAUAAGUGUGGUGUGAAAUCUCCCGGCUUAACUGGGAGGGUGCGCUACAAACUGUCUGACUAGGGUAUGGGAUGGGAGAGUGGAAUUCCUGGUGUAGCGGUGAAAUGCGUGGAUAUCAGGAGGAACACCGGUGGUGUAGACAGCUUACUGGACCAUUUCUGACGCUGAGACACGAAAGCGUGGGUAGCAAACAGG